RNAcentral lists this ribosomal RNA (447 nucleotides) under uncultured bacterium. RNAcentral describes it as "bacterial SSU rRNA". It matches the Rfam family "Bacterial small subunit ribosomal RNA", at positions 355 to 825 of the family's 1533-position model. The record is from RNAcentral.
UCGAGAAUUUUUCUCAAUGGGGGAAACCCUGAAGGAGCGACGCCGCGUGAAGGAUGAAGUAUUUCGGUAUGUAAACUUCGAAAGAAUAGGAAGAAUAAAUGACGGUACUAUUUAUAAGGUCCGGCUAACUACGUGCCAGCAGCCGCGGUAAUACGUAGGGACCAAGCGUUGUUCGGAUUUACUGGGCGUAAAGGGCGCGUAGGCGGCAUGACAAGUCACUUGUGAAAUCUCUGGGCUUAACCCAGAACGGCCAAGUGAUACUGUCGCGCUAGAGUGCAGAAGGGGCAAUCGGAAUUCUUGGUGUAGCGGUGAAAUGCGUAGAUAUCAAGAGGAACACCUGAGGUGAAGACGGCCACCUGGUUGGAUACUGACGCUGAGACGCGAAAGCGUGGGGAGCAAACAGGAUUAGAUACCCAAGUAGUCCCUGAGCGGGCUGGCAAGGCGCAU